AACGGCAGGCGAGUCUUCGCGAAUAUCCUAUGUAUAUCUCGAAUAUGCCUACCCGAGCGAUAUGGGAGCGAUAUAUUUUUGCAAAUAUUUUGACGCGAUGGCAGCGCCAUGUGGUAGAAUGAAGAAAUAUUAAUGAAAGCAGUCGUGUUGACGGAUGUCAUUGUCAUUUCAUCCAAGAAUGCAAGGAAAAAAUUUUAAUUUCAAUUUCAAUGUAUAAUUUUUAUUUUCGCCUAAUUUUUCAGGGAUCAAAAGACGCAAACAAAACAUCUUUAUACGUAUAUUCAAAGAAUAAUUUGUAUUAAGCAAACCUUAGUCAAUACAGGUGAUUCUGGAUAUGCUCUAAGUCAGUUGAUGUUGACAUCCAUCCAAAAUGCAUUGCCUGCUACUCUAGAAGAAAUAUUCAUCACAGAAGAACUGAAUCCCCUAUAGAGAGAUGCAAUGGGAUUUUAAAAUGGAGGCAUAGAAUUUUACACUCCAACCAUGGCUGAAUAAAAUAAAUAAUAAUGCAUGCACUGUGCUGCACAAUUUGUGCAUUGGUAUGCAUAAUGUACCCCCUAUUGGUUUAGGUGAUGAAGAAAACAAUCAUAUAGAUAUUGAUUAUGGACAUGUCAAUGGAAUAAAUAUAGAAGGUAGAAUUCGUGAUAGAGAUCUGCUCACAGGAAGAAGACUCCAACAAAUGCUAAUUCAAAUUAAUUUUAGAAAUUAAUUCAGUAAGUUUGGAAAAAUGUAUGUUCUGUGUUAUUUGUACUUUAUGUAAAUAUUGUUCUGAAGCUAUUUUCUUGUGGCAUUUUUAUGAUUAACUAUUUAGAUGGGAAAUAAGCCACAAUUAAAUUGAAAAAAAUAAUUUUAUUAACGUUUCGACGUCCAAAUCGGGUGUCGUUGUCAAAAUACAAAAGACUACUAAAUUAAACAAAAAUGUUGCUAAGUAAAAAAUUCUUCUAAUAAUUUAUUUAAUCUGACUCAUUUAUAUUGGCAAUUCAGACAUAUAUUAUACAUUUUAAAGUAGAAGACUUUAAAAUGAUAUUGCCAAUAUUUAUGAGUUGCGUUCCUGGGACGACUUAACUGAAAGAUAGUUCAUUCGAUUACAUGAAAUCAACCUUAACUCAAGAAUAUCCAUCACAAAAAAAAUCAUAGCAUGUGAUCUGUCUUUAAAAAGACAACCAAAUGCAAAAAAAGUGAUUUACUAUGGAAUCUCUAACGCGAGAAUUUUACUGUCAUCGUUGCAUUUGGUUGUCUUUUUAAAGACAGAUCACAUGCUAUGUUUUUUUUUGUGACGGAUGUUCUUGAGUUGAGGUUGAUUUCAUGUAAUCGAAUGAACUAUCUUUCAGUAAAUUCGUCCCAGGAACGCAACUCAUAAAUAUUGGCAAUAUCAUUUUAAAGUCUUCUACUUUAAAAUGUAUAAUAUAUGUCUGAAUUGCCAAUAUAAAUGAGUCAAAUUAAAUAAAUUAUUAGAAGAAUUUUUUACUUAGCAACAACAUUUUUGUUUAAUUUAGUAGUAUUUUGUAUUUUGACAACGACAUCCGAGUUGGGUGUCGAAACGUUAAUAAAAUUAUUUAUUUAAUUGUGGCUUAUUUCCUAUCUAAAUAGUUAAUUAUGUAAAUAUGUAGUGUGUUAGCUGUUGUUUUAUGAACAACAUAAAACAUUAUGUGAAAUAUUGACUGUAUGUUAUCCAUGACACAGAACAAAAGUUAAAAUGCAUGUUUUUACAUUUGUAGCCUUUUAAUAACCUUAUCAUAAUAUAAUAAAAUAAAUGCAAAGAAAUUUAUGUCUCAGUAAGUUGGAACCAUGGACGUAUAAAUAAAGAUAUAUCUUUAUUUAUACGUCCAUGGUUGGAACCAUAUGAAAAACUUUUUUAUUAUCAAUUUUAGGAACAAGUUAUUCUUUAUAAAAGCUUUGCAUGAUUUGAAACCUUUAAACAACCAUCAAAUAUAAAAAAUUUUCAGUUGUAUACUAGGUUUGUCAAAAAAUAUGAAUUUUAUUAAAGAGUAAACUACCUUUCAUUUUUCACAAUAUCCAAAAUUAUUAUUAACCCUAGAACCACGAAGUGGGGUCACCUGUGACCCCACCGCUCAAAUUUUUUUGACAUGCGAGUUACUCCGAUGAUACGUAUGUUUUUAUGAAAGUUUACAUUUAGUCGUAAAUGCAGCACAUUUCUGAUUUUUGACCCCACCUGAGGAUAGAAAAGGCUGCUAUAUUUGUGUUUACUGUGCAGAACAUCAAUUUAGUAUUUGUAAAGAUUGUAAAUAAUAUAAAAAUAAACUAUUCAACUUCUAA
RNAcentral lists this long non-coding RNA (2274 nucleotides) under Diabrotica virgifera virgifera (western corn rootworm). Its description in RNAcentral is "uncharacterized LOC126888048". The record is from RNAcentral. Lineage: Eukaryota; Metazoa; Arthropoda; Insecta; Coleoptera; Chrysomelidae.